This 424-nucleotide ribosomal RNA is filed under the name uncultured bacterium. RNAcentral's name for it is "partial 16S ribosomal RNA". It matches the Rfam family "Bacterial small subunit ribosomal RNA", at positions 354 to 796 of the family's 1533-position model. The record is from RNAcentral.
GUGAGGAAUUUUGCGCAAUGGGGGCAACCCUGACGCAGCGACGCCGCGUGGAGGACGAAGUCUUUCGGGAUGUAAACUCCUGUCAGUGGGGACGAUAAUGACGGUACCCACAGAGGAAGCACCGGCUAACUCCGUGCCAGCAGCCGCGGUAAGACGGAGGGUGCAAGCGUUGUUCGGAAUUACUGGGCGUAAAGCGUAUGUAGGCGGCAAGUUAAGUUCAAUGUUAAAGCCCACGGCUCAACCGAGGAGAUGCAUUGAAUACUGGCUAGCUAGAGGGUGUUAGAGGAAGACGGAAUUCCCAGUGUAGCGGUGAAAUGCGUAGAUAUUGGGAGGAACAUCGGUAGCGAAAGCGGUCUUCUGGGACAUACCUGACGCUGAGGUACGAAAGCGUGGGGAGCAAACGGGAUUAGAUACCCUGUAGUCC